GUCUAUGGUCAUACCACCCUGAACGCGCCCGAUCUCAUCUGAUCUCGGAAGCUAAGCAGGGUCGAGCCUGGUUAGUACUUGGAUGGAGGCUCCUUUUUCU
This 100-nucleotide ribosomal RNA is filed under the name Microcebus murinus (gray mouse lemur). The record is from RNAcentral. Lineage: Eukaryota; Metazoa; Chordata; Mammalia; Primates; Cheirogaleidae.